CCUACGGGAGGCAGCAGUGAGGAAUAUUGGUCAAUGGCCGGAAGGCUGAACCAGCCAAGCCGCGUGAAGGACGAAGGUGCCAAGCAUUGUAAACUUCUUUUGUCAAGGGACAAAAUCAGGCUCGAGAGCCUGACCGAGGGUACUUGAAGAAAAAGCAUCGGCUAACUCCGUGCCAGCAGCCGCGGUAAUACGGAGGAUGCGAGCGUUAUCCGGAUUUAUUGGGUUUAAAGGGUGCGUAGGCGGACUGUUAAGUCAGCGGUAAAAGCCCGGGGCUCAACCCCGGCGAGCCGUUGAAACUGGCUGUCGUGAGAUGCCGAGAGGUAUGCGGAAUGCGCAGUGUAGCGGUGAAAUGCGUAGAUAUUGCGCAGAACUCCGAUUGCGAAGGCAGCAUACCGGCGGCGAUCUGACGCUGAGGCACGAAAGCGUGGGUAUCGAACAGGAUUAGAUACCCCUGUAGUC
This 459-nucleotide ribosomal RNA is filed under the name uncultured bacterium. Its description in RNAcentral is "partial 16S ribosomal RNA". It matches the Rfam family "Bacterial small subunit ribosomal RNA", at positions 338 to 795 of the family's 1533-position model. The record is from RNAcentral.